RNAcentral lists this small nucleolar RNA (158 nucleotides) under Triticum aestivum (bread wheat). RNAcentral's name for it is "Plant small nucleolar RNA U3". It matches the Rfam family "Plant small nucleolar RNA U3". Rfam says of the family: Small nucleolar RNAs (snoRNAs) are involved in the processing and modification of rRNA in the nucleolus. There are two main classes of snoRNAs: the box C/D class, and the box H/ACA class. Lineage: Eukaryota; Viridiplantae; Streptophyta; Magnoliopsida; Poales; Poaceae. The record is from Rfam by way of RNAcentral.
ACGACCUUACUUAAACAGGAUCUGUUCUAUAGGCUCGUACCGCUGUAUCCCUUACCAAUAAGGAGGCAAGCACUCAUGUCUGGUUGAUGCAUUCUGACCAGAUCGUUCCUACCUGGUACACUCUGGUGCAGGGUGGCUCGGAGGUUGUCUGACAGACU